This 1325-nucleotide ribosomal RNA is filed under the name Salmonella enterica subsp. enterica serovar Enteritidis. RNAcentral describes it as "partial 23S ribosomal RNA". It matches the Rfam family "Bacterial large subunit ribosomal RNA", at positions 1552 to 2853 of the family's 2925-position model. Lineage: Bacteria; Pseudomonadati; Pseudomonadota; Gammaproteobacteria; Enterobacterales; Enterobacteriaceae. The record is from RNAcentral.
AACACUGAGGCGUGACGACGAGGCACUACGGUGCUGAAGCAACAAAUGCCCUGCUUCCAGGAAAAGCCUCUAAGCAUCAGGUAACAUCAAAUCGUACCCCAAACCGACACAGGUGGUCAGGUAGAGAAUACCAAGGCGCUUGAGAGAACUCGGGUGAAGGAACUAGGCAAAAUGGUGCCGUAACUUCGGGAGAAGGCACGCUGACACGUAGGUGAAGUGAUUUACUCAUGGAGCUGAAGUCAGUCGAAGAUACCAGCUGGCUGCAACUGUUUAUUAAAAACACAGCACUGUGCAAACACGAAAGUGGACGUAUACGGUGUGACGCCUGCCCGGUGCCGGAAGGUUAAUUGAUGGGGUCAGCGCAAGCGAAGCUCCUGAUCGAAGCCCCGGUAAACGGCGGCCGUAACUAUAACGGUCCUAAGGUAGCGAAAUUCCUUGUCGGGUAAGUUCCGACCUGCACGAAUGGCGUAAUGAUGGCCAGGCUGUCUCCACCCGAGACUCAGUGAAAUUGAACUCGCUGUGAAGAUGCAGUGUACCCGCGGCAAGACGGAAAGACCCCGUGAACCUUUACUAUAGCUUGACACUGAACAUUGAGCCUUGAUGUGUAGGAUAGGUGGGAGGCUUUGAAGUGUGGACGCCAGUCUGCAUGGAGCCGACCUUGAAAUACCACCCUUUAAUGUUUGAUGUUCUAACGUGGACCCGUUACCCGGGUUGCGGACAGUGUCUGGUGGGUAGUUUGACUGGGGCGGUCUCCUCCUAAAGAGUAACGGAGGAGCACGAAGGUUGGCUAAUCCUGGUCGGACAUCAGGAGGUUAGUGCAAUGGCAUAAGCCAGCUUGACUGCGAGCGUGACGGCGCGAGCAGGUGCGAAAGCAGGUCAUAGUGAUCCGGUGGUUCUGAAUGGAAGGGCCAUCGCUCAACGGAUAAAAGGUACUCCGGGGAUAACAGGCUGAUACCGCCCAAGAGUUCAUAUCGACGGCGGUGUUUGGCACCUCGAUGUCGGCUCAUCACAUCCUGGGGCUGAAGUAGGUCCCAAGGGUAUGGCUGUUCGCCAUUUAAAGUGGUACGCGAGCUGGGUUUAGAACGUCGUGAGACAGUUCGGUCCCUAUCUGCCGUGGGCGCUGGAGAACUGAGGGGGGCUGCUCCUAGUACGAGAGGACCGGAGUGGACGCAUCACUGGUGUUCGGGUUGUCAUGCCAAUGGCACUGCCCGGUAGCUAAAUGCGGAAGAGAUAAGUGCUGAAAGCAUCUAAGCACGAAACUUGCCCCGAGAUGAGUUCUCCCUGAGACUUAAAGUCUCCUGAAGGAACGUUGAAGACGACGACGU